This 209-nucleotide unclassified non-coding RNA is filed under the name Hevea brasiliensis (rubber tree). The record is from RNAcentral. Lineage: Eukaryota; Viridiplantae; Streptophyta; Magnoliopsida; Malpighiales; Euphorbiaceae.
GCGACACACAAACACAUCAUCUGUAAUAUUGUACAAACACCUUGAACAAAGUUACACAUUAAAAAGACUAAUAAUACAUCAUGUAUUUGAAAUCACGACGACCAUGAGGCAGAAAUGCCCAGAUCAUACUUCUUUUCUAGCAGAACACCAGGAGCAUCUCCAGAACCCACACUCAGAAAGAGAGAGGGGGGAACUCAUCUUCAUCUUUU